This 480-nucleotide ribosomal RNA is filed under the name Segatella oris. RNAcentral describes it as "bacterial SSU rRNA". It matches the Rfam family "Bacterial small subunit ribosomal RNA", at positions 28 to 497 of the family's 1533-position model. Lineage: Bacteria; Pseudomonadati; Bacteroidota; Bacteroidia; Bacteroidales; Prevotellaceae. The record is from RNAcentral.
GAUGAACGCUGGCUACAGGCUUAACACAUGCAAGUCGAGGGGAAACGACGGGGAAGCUUGCUUCCCCGGGCGUCGACCGGCGCACGGGUGAGUAACGCGUAUCCAACCUGCCUCUGACUGAGGGAUAACCCGUCGAAAGUCGGCCUAAUACCUCAUGGCAUCGUCUGCGGGCAUCCAACGACGAUUAAAGAUUUCAUCGGUCAGGGAUGGGGAUGCGUCUGAUUAGCUUGUUGGCGGGGUAACGGCCCACCAAGGCGACGAUCAGUAGGGGUUCUGAGAGGAAGGUCCCCCACAUUGGAACUGAGACACGGUCCAAACUCCUACGGGGGGCAGCAGUGAGGAAUAUUGGUCAAUGGGCGAGAGCCUGAACCAGCCAAGUAGCGUGCAGGAUGACGGCCCUAUGGGUUGUAAACUGCUUUUAUGCGGGGAUAAAGUGAGGGACGUGUCCUUCAUUGCAGGUACCGCAUGAAUAAGGACGGC